Mus caroli (Ryukyu mouse) is the source of this 760-nucleotide non-coding RNA. NCBI's taxonomy places the organism in Eukaryota, Metazoa, Chordata, Mammalia, Rodentia, Muridae. The record is from RefSeq and is a predicted model, not a curated record.
AGAGAACCCCAUAGAAGGAGCUAGGGAGAUAGAGGAGACAGGACACCAGGGGAACAAGACCUAAAACAACUGAGCAAAGAGUUCACAUGAACUCACAGAGCCUGAAGCAGCUUACACAGGACCGACAAAGGGCUAUCUGAAGCAAGCAGUUGGGUAAUUUCAUCCUUUGGACCAGAGGAGAAAAAUAUCUCUGAGGCUGCUCGGAUGCUGCCUUCUCUGAUCCUCAUAGUGGAAAUUCAUCCCCUGCCUUCCUGUCCUCUGCAUCAUGGCCACCCCAGCAGCAAUCAUCUUGUUCCUUUCUCUAUGGUGUUUGAAGCAGCUGUGCCCUUGUGAUCCCGGAUGUUUCCUGACUUCCAGGACUGAUCUUGUUCAUCUAUGUAACUUCCAAGGCUCAAGAGAGACUUUGAGAACUACUUUCUUCAGAUGGUCCAUGUCUUUGUGAGCCAUUCUCCAAACAUGUUGUCACAGCCACCCAAGGGCUGAGAAGGGACACUUUCGCCAUGUCUAUUGCUAUCAUUUCCCCGCAUAGCCAUCAAAAACCGUCCCUUUCCUGGGCUUCCUAUAAAUCGUAACACAAUGAUUCAUGUCCUAACUCACGAUUUCUGAGUUGCUGGUGGUUUGAUGAGUUUAUUACCCCGUGUCUUCACUGCCUUGGGAUCCAUUUCAGCCCACUGCAGUUUUGUUGCAUUUACCUUUCUAAGAAUGUCCUUGCCUGUGCUUUUAAAUCAAUUCUUGUGUUCACAAGAAUCCAGUUCCUUCC